This 67-nucleotide transfer RNA is filed under the name Anoeconeossa unicornuta. RNAcentral describes it as "tRNA-Cys". Lineage: Eukaryota; Metazoa; Arthropoda; Insecta; Hemiptera; Aphalaridae. The record is from RNAcentral.
GUUCUUUAGUCAAUCAUGAUAGUAAAGUGCAAAUUUACAGGUAAGAACAUAAAAUCUUAGGAACUUU